CCUACGGGUGGCAGCAGUAGGGAAUAUUGCUCAAUGGGGGAAACCCUGAAGCAGCAACGCCGCGUGGAGGAUGAAGGCUUUCGGAUUGUAAACCCCUUUUGGCAGAGAAGAUAAUGGCGGUAUCCUACCUACAACCACCCGCCAACUCCGUGCCACCAGCCGCGGUUAGACGGAGGGCGCAAGCGUUACUCGGAAUUACUGGGCGUUAAGAGGGCGGAGGCGGGAUAGCAAGUCUGAUGGGAAAGCCUAAGGUUUAACCAUGGGACUGCAUUUGAAACUGUUAUUCUAGAGUGUGGGAGAGGUAGGUGGAAUGCUUGGUGUAGCGGUGAAAUGCGUAGAGAUCAAGAGGAAUACUCAUUGCGAAGGCGGCCUACUGGAACAUAACUGACGCUGAUGCGCGAAAGCGUGGGGAGCAAACAGGAUUAGAUACCCUAGUAGUC
This 440-nucleotide ribosomal RNA is filed under the name uncultured bacterium. Its description in RNAcentral is "partial 16S ribosomal RNA". It matches the Rfam family "Bacterial small subunit ribosomal RNA", at positions 338 to 795 of the family's 1533-position model. The record is from RNAcentral.